Austrofundulus limnaeus is the source of this 323-nucleotide long non-coding RNA. RefSeq lists it as uncharacterized. NCBI's taxonomy places the organism in Eukaryota, Metazoa, Chordata, Actinopteri, Cyprinodontiformes, Rivulidae. The transcript has 5 exons. The record is from RefSeq and is a predicted model, not a curated record.
GGCAUAAACAUCACCACAGUCUGCUCUCCAACUGGUAAUGAACUCCAGUGUCAGUGUGAAGAUGGUUUUGCUUGGCCUUGUAACUUCUGCAGCAAUAAUUCAUGCAGCAGUGUCAGCAGCAGUGCGAUCUGUUCGUGUGUAAAUGGACUCCCUGGGAACGACUCCUGUCARCCAUCCACAAGUAUCUCUCCAUGUCCAACGACUACUCCAGUGACAACACCAUCAACAGCACCUGUGCCUGUGGAUUAUAAUGUGGUCGUAGAGCUGCUCAUCCCACUCUCCAGUGUCCUGAAUUUUACUGAGAUCAGAAACAAACUGAAAAA